CAUUACCGAGUUUACAACUCCCAAACCCCUGUGAACAUACCUAUACGUUGCCUCGGCGGAUCAGCCCGCGCCCCGUAAAACGGGACGGCCCGCCCGAGGACCCCUAAACUCUGUUUUUAGUGGAACUUCUGAGUAAAACAAACAAAUAAAUCAAAACUUUCAACAACGGAUCUCUUGGUUCUGGCAUCGAUGAAGAACGCAGCAAAAUGCGAUAAGUAAUGUGAAUUGCAGAAUUCAGUGAAUCAUCGAAUCUUUGAACGCACAUUGCGCCCGCCAGUAUUCUGGCGGGCAUGCCUGUUCGAGCGUCAUUUCAACCCUCAAGCUCAGCUUGGUGUUGGGACUCGCGGUAACCCGCGUUCCCCAAAUCGAUUGGCGGUCACGUCGAGCUUCCAUAGCGUAGUAAUCAUACACCUCGUUACUGGUAAUCGUCGCGGCCACGCCGUUAAACCCCAACUUCUGAAUGUUGACCUCGGAUCAGGUAGGAAUACCCGCUGAACUUAAGCAUAUCA
This 509-nucleotide ribosomal RNA is filed under the name Fusarium incarnatum. Its description in RNAcentral is "eukaryotic LSU rRNA". The stretch from base 155 to 308 matches the Rfam family "5.8S ribosomal RNA". Lineage: Eukaryota; Fungi; Ascomycota; Sordariomycetes; Hypocreales; Nectriaceae. The record is from RNAcentral.